AGGUGCUCGAUAAUACCUAGAACAGAUGUAAGAAAUAUUUGGUUCUCCUUUAACCAGAACUUUGGCACUCCCAAAAUCGCAUAAUUUAACCUGGUGGGUAUGUGGAUUCACCAAAAGAUUCUGAGGUUUAAUGUCCCUGUGGCACACUCCAAUAGUGCGGUGUAUGUAAGACAAUGCCCUGAAAAUCUGAUAUGUAUAAAGCUUCACAAGUAUCAACGGCAUCCUUUGAUUCAGCUUAUUGUAGUGUUUGAUAACACGGUGAACGGUUUCAGGUACAUACUCAAGAACCAAGUUAAGAUACAGUUCAUCCUUGUCAGUUGUGGAAAAGAAGCAGUGUUUGAGAGACACAACAUUAGGGUGGUCAAGAAGGCGCAUUGUCUGCAAUUCUCGGUUCUUAUAUCUUUUAUCUUGAAGAACCUUUUUAAUAGCAACAGUUUCACCAGUCUCU
This 448-nucleotide unclassified non-coding RNA is filed under the name Hevea brasiliensis (rubber tree). The record is from RNAcentral. Lineage: Eukaryota; Viridiplantae; Streptophyta; Magnoliopsida; Malpighiales; Euphorbiaceae.